UUCUGGUUGAUCCUGCCGGACCCUACUGCUAUCGGGAUGGGACUAAGACAUGCUAGUCGUGCGCUUCUAAGCCAUGGUGGAGGCGCGGCGCACAGCUCAGUAACACGUGGUUAACCUGCCCUUGGGACGGAAACACCCCCGGGAAACUGGGGCUAAUUUCCGAUAGGUGAAGACUCCUGGAAUGGAUCUUCGCCUAAAGGGCGCUUAGGCCAUGCUUCUAGGCGCUGCCCCAAGGAUGGGACCGCGGCCGAUCAGGUUGUUGGUGAGGUAAUGGCUCACCAAGCCUUUAACCGGUUCGGGCCGUGGGAGCGGGAGCCCGGAGAUGGGCACUGAGACAAGGGCCCAGGUCCUACGGGGCGCAGCAGUCGCGAAAACUCCGCAAUACGCGAAGGCGUGACGGGGCUAUCCCGAGUGCCGUCCGCUGAGGAUGGCUUUUCCCCAGUGUAGAUAGCUGGGGGAAUAAGGAGAGGGCAAGUCUGGUGUCAGCCGCCGCGGUAAUACCAGCUCUCCGAGUGGUGGGGACGUUUAUUGGGCCUGAAGCAUCCGUAGCCAGCUGAGCAAGUCCCCAGUUAAAUCCAGCGAUUUAAUCGUUGGACUGCUGGGGAUACUGUCCGGCUUGGGGGUGGGAGAGGCCGACGGUAUUCCCGGGGUAGGGGUGAAAUCCUAUAAUCCCGGGAGGACCACCAGUGGCGAAGGCUGUUGGCUAAAACAUGCCCGACGGUGAGGGAUGAAAGCUGGGGGAGCGAACCGGAUUAGAUACCCGGGUAGUCCCAGCUGUAAACGAUGCAGGCUAGGUGUUAGGGCGGCCACGUGCCGCUCUAGUGCCGCAGGGAAGCUGUUAAGCCUGCCGCCUGGGGAGUACGGCCGCAAGGCUGAAACUUAAAGGAAUUGGCGGGGGAGCAC
This 903-nucleotide ribosomal RNA is filed under the name crenarchaeote enrichment culture clone 61-50f. RNAcentral's name for it is "bacterial SSU rRNA". It matches the Rfam family "Archaeal small subunit ribosomal RNA", at positions 1 to 879 of the family's 1478-position model. The record is from RNAcentral. Lineage: Archaea; Thermoproteati; Thermoproteota.